CCUACGGGAGGCAGCAGUGGGGAAUCUUCCACAAUGGACGAAAGUCUGAUGGAGCAACGCCGCGUGAGUGAAGAAGGGUUUCGGCUUGUAAAGCUCUGUUGGUAGUGAAGAAAGAUAGAGGUAGUAACUGGCCUUUAUUUGACGGUAAUUACUUAGAAAGUCACGGCUAACUACGUGCCAGCAGCCGCGGUAAUACGUAGGUGGCAAGCGUUGUCCGGAUUUAUUGGGCGUAAAGCGAGUGCAGGCGGUUCCAUAAGGCUGGUGUGAAAGCCGUCGGGUCCACCGGGGAAAU
This 292-nucleotide ribosomal RNA is filed under the name uncultured bacterium. RNAcentral's name for it is "partial 16S ribosomal RNA". It matches the Rfam family "Bacterial small subunit ribosomal RNA", at positions 338 to 622 of the family's 1533-position model. The record is from RNAcentral.